Molecule: ribosomal RNA, 441 nt
Filed under: uncultured bacterium
Lineage: Bacteria
Description: bacterial SSU rRNA
Rfam family: Bacterial small subunit ribosomal RNA
Source: RNAcentral
AACGCGAAGAACCUUACCUGGGCUCGAAAUGUACAGGAAUCCGGUGGAAACAUCGGCGUCCCGCAAGGGACCUGUAUAUAGGUGCUGCAUGGCUGUCGUCAGCUCGUGUCGUGAGAUGUUGGGUUAAGUCCCGCAACGAGCGCAACCCUUACUUCCAGUUGCCAUCAUUCAGUUGGGCACUCUGGCAGAACCGCCUCGGAUAACGGGGAGGAAGGUGGGGAUGACGUCAAGUCCUCAUGGCCUUUAUGUCCAGGGCUACACACGUGCUACAAUGGUCGGUACAAACCGUCGCAAACCCGUGAGGGGGAGCUAAUCGGAAAAAGCCGACCUCAGUUCGGAUCGUAGUCUGCAACUCGACUACGUGAAGCUGGAAUCGCUAGUAAUCGCGGAUCAGAAUGCCGCGGUGAAUACGUUCCCGGGCCUUGUACACACCGCUCGCGA